AAACGGUUAAAUAUAUCACGCCCUCAGUUUUACCUUUCUCUCUCAUGAAGAUUAUGGGCUACCCUAUUUCUUCUCUCUUUCACCCUUAUUCAAAACCUUCUCUUUUCUCAAUCCUCUUAUAAGUUUGUUAGAUCUCUUCGUUGUUUAAUUACUCUGAUUCGAAAUUCAAUGAGGUAGUACGAGGUGAAUCUAGAGAAAAUUAGAUCUCUUAAGUUGGGAGGAAGAGGUAAAACCCUAGGUUUCGGGCCAACGAAGUGAGCGAUUUCUCUGGUUUUGACGUUUCCAAUGGGUCUUUAUUUCUCAGAUUUUGAAGGCUAUGAAGUACACUGAGCACUACGUCGGAGAUCCAUCAAGUCUAGUCAUCGUCCUUGCGUACCUUGCUGUUGAGGCGCUAUUUUUACCAAGUAAAUUAUGUUGUGGAAGAACUCCAAAAGUGCCAAUGAUGAUGCUGAUGAUGCAAAGACAUUAAAGAAAUUCUCAAAGCUUACUCCUGAAGGGGCAGCCUAAAACAUGUUGAUUCUCAAAAGGAUGAUGCAAGUGAUCCAAAGAAAGGAAAAGAUAAGAACAACAAGAAGAAAAAGAAGAAAGGGCCAACCAGAGACUCUAAGCAUGAGAGUGAAUACAAGAAGGGUUUGAGACCUGUUCUCUGGUUGACCCUAUCUUUGACAACAGAGGAGCUUUUGCCAUUGCUAGAUGUAUUAGCUAAUAAGGUUAAGGCUGUUAGGGGACUUCGAGAACUUUUAACCACUAAGCUACCAUUCGUGACAUUCCUGUCAAGGAAGCUUGUACUCAAUCUGUAAUUUCUGCUCUCACUGCUAAUUAAGUUGCUGUUGUCGCUGCUGCCUCUGUUGCUAUUGUCGAGCGUUGCUGCCUUUGUUGCUGUUGUCGCUGCUGCUUUAAUUGGUGCAGUUAAUUAUACUACAUACCUUGUUCAAUUAAUAUCAAUCUAAUCAUUGAACAAUUGUCAGGAUGCAUAAUUAUAUUACACUAGUAAUUAUUUUGGAGUACAUGUUUUAUUGGUUGAAUUAUAAUAGGUUUUAACCCAUAGAUUAAUACUCAUUGUAUUUAUUAUUGUACAAAAGUUGGGUUAAUAAUUUAUGGUGCUUCACAUUAAAAAAAAAUGUAGCGUGGGUAAUGGCAGUAGGGCCAUCUGCUACUAUUGCCAUUUUUUAAAAA
This is a long non-coding RNA of Chenopodium quinoa (quinoa), 1176 nucleotides long. RefSeq lists it as uncharacterized. The record is from RefSeq and is a predicted model, not a curated record. The transcript is spliced from 3 exons. NCBI's taxonomy places the organism in Eukaryota, Viridiplantae, Streptophyta, Magnoliopsida, Caryophyllales, Amaranthaceae.